RNAcentral lists this ribosomal RNA (497 nucleotides) under uncultured bacterium. Its description in RNAcentral is "partial 16S ribosomal RNA". It matches the Rfam family "Bacterial small subunit ribosomal RNA", at positions 28 to 507 of the family's 1533-position model. The record is from RNAcentral.
GAUGAACGCUGGCGGCGUGCCUAAUACAUGCAAGUCGAGCGAACAGACGAGGAGCUUGCUCCUCUGACGUUAGCGGCGGACGGGUGAGUAACACGUGGAUAACCUACCUAUAAGACUGGGAUAACUUCGGGAAACCGGAGCUAAUACCGGAUAAUAUAUUGAACCGCAUGGUUCAAUAGUGAAAGACGGUUUUGCUGUCACUUAUAGAUGGAUCCGCGCCGCAUUAGCUAGUUGGUAAGGUAACGGCUUACCAAGGCGACGAUGCGUAGCCGACCUGAGAGGGUGAAGGGCCACACUGGAACUGAGACACGGUCCAGACUCCUACGGGAGGCAGCAGUAGGGAAUCUUCCGCAAUGGGCGAAAGCCUGACGGAGCAACGCCGCGUGAGUGAUGAAGGUCUUCGGGUCGUAAAACUCUGUUAUUGGGGAAGAACAAAUGUGUAAGUAACUAUGCACGUCUUGACGGUACCUAAUCAGAAAGCCACGGCUAACUACGUG